GAUGAACGCUGGCGGCGUGCCUAAUACAUGCCAGUCGAGCGAACAGAUAAGGAGCUUGCUCCUUUGACGUUAGCGGCGGACGGGUGAGUAACACGUGGGUAACCUACCUAUAAGACUGGGAUAACUUCGGGAAACCGGAGCUAAUACCGGAUAACAUUUGGAACCGCAUGGUUCUAAAGUGAAAGAUGGUUUUGCUAUCACUUAUAGAUGGACCCGCGCCGUAUUAGCUAGUUGGUAAGGUAACGGCUUACCAAGGCAACGAUACGUAGCCGACCUGAGAGGGUGAUCGGCCACACUGGAACUGAGAUACGGUCCAGACUCCUACGGGAGGCAGCAGUAGGGAAUCUUCCGCAAUGGGCGAAAGCCUGACGGAGCAACGCCGCGUGAGUGAUGAAGGGUUUCGGCUCGUAAAACUCUGUUAUUAGGGAAGAACAAAUGUGUAAGUAACUGUGCACGUCUUGACGGUACCUAAUCAGAAAGCCACGGCUAACUACGUG
RNAcentral lists this ribosomal RNA (497 nucleotides) under uncultured bacterium. RNAcentral describes it as "partial 16S ribosomal RNA". It matches the Rfam family "Bacterial small subunit ribosomal RNA", at positions 28 to 507 of the family's 1533-position model. The record is from RNAcentral.